AAAUUUAUACUUUUCUUCCAUAUUCAAUAUUUUGUCCAAGUUCAGUAACAUUUGACAGGGCUGUGAGAAAGAAGUUACAGAGGCUUAGAUGGUGCCUCUGAUGAACAAAAGGGUGAAAGCAUUAUGCGGUUGUCAGUAUAUCAUGAUAUUGAUGAAAAUGAUGAUGUGUUUUUGGUUUGUGAAGAGGAAGAUUCAUUUUCUGUUGAAGACCUAAAAGAUCACUCAUGCACAACAGGUGUUUGAUGAAAUGCAUAUUAGAAUUUUCCCAG
Molecule: long non-coding RNA, 269 nt
Filed under: Panax ginseng (ginseng)
Lineage: Eukaryota; Viridiplantae; Streptophyta; Magnoliopsida; Apiales; Araliaceae
Description: long non-coding RNA (PGIN_LNC001729)
Source: RNAcentral